GAAAAUGUAACGGGGCUAAACACACCACCGAAGCUAUGGCUUGCGUCGACUUCACUGCUUCUUUGAAGCGUGGAGCUGUGAGACAUUUUUGCCGAAUUCAACCUUGAAUCACAGGGUUGCUUACAAACAAACUUCUAUAUAAUAGAAGAUUUCGGCCAAAUGCGCUUAGGCUAAACUCACUUCGAAGGCGAAGUGAAGUCGAUGCAGGGGUAGGGGAGCGUUGUGUACCGGGUUGAAGGUAGACCGGAAGGACUGCUGGACUGUACACAAGUGAGAAUGCCGGUAUGAGUAACGAAAAGACAUGUGAGAAUCAUGUCCGCCGAAAGCCUAAGGGUUCCUGGGGAAGGCU
RNAcentral lists this ribosomal RNA (349 nucleotides) under Stenotrophomonas maltophilia group sp. RNC7. RNAcentral's name for it is "partial 23S ribosomal RNA". It matches the Rfam family "Bacterial large subunit ribosomal RNA", at positions 1166 to 1366 of the family's 2925-position model. The record is from RNAcentral. Lineage: Bacteria; Pseudomonadati; Pseudomonadota; Gammaproteobacteria; Lysobacterales; Lysobacteraceae.